UCUAUGAAUGUCCAUUGUGACGACCACACCUAGCAGCUCUCCAUUGUUGUGUGCAACUGCCCAGCCACUCAUGCUGGCUACACGCUCCAGACACACACUGGCCUGGAGCAGACAGGAGAUACUGGAUCUCCUGGGACUGUGGAGAGUAGAGGCUGUAUGGGCACGGCUACAGACCAGCCGUAGAAAUGGGGAGAUCUACGAGCAGAUUGCAUGGGGGAUGCAGGAGAAGGGGUACGACAGGGAUCAGCAGUAGUGCCGUAUGAAAGCGAAGGAACUGAGGCAGGCAUACCAGAAGGGUGGAGAGUCCAACAGUCAAUCUAGUGCUGAGCCACAGACCUGCUGCUUUUACAAAGAGCUGCAUGCCAUACUUGGUGGAGACCCCACCACCACCUCACAGACCACUCUAGGUUCCGCUGAGGAGCCCGAGACACAGACCCCUGCCAUGAACAGCACAGAAGAGGAGGCGAAUGGGAGACAUGCAACCAGCAGGGUCCAGCUAUGCCACAAUCCAGGACCUGUUUGAGACACCCCCACAGUCAGUGCCACAAUCCAGGACCUUGAGACACCCCCACAGUCCAGUGUGCACGGGCGACCCAAUGCCGGGGAAGGAACCUUGGCCGCUGCCGUGGCCUUGAGGGGUUCCCCCUCCACACCUGCAGGACGCCUGAAGCACAUGAGAAGAAAGACGAGGACUUGGGAUGAUAUGUUCAGCGAGAUCUUGCAAGCCAGUGCUGCAUCAGAUUGUGAGCAGAGGGCGUGGAGGGUGAAUAUUGCAGACUGUAAGGAGAGGGAAAGAGUGGACAGGAGAGAGGUCCAGGAGUCUCAGCAGGCAAAGGAGAGGGAGAUGCACCAGGAUAUAAUGUUGCAGACUCUUGAGGACCUACAGGUUCAACAAUAAUGGGCUCACCUCCCUAUGCAGCCCUUGGAGAAAUUCCAUUUUAGCACGUCCCUACGUCCCCUCCCCCCCCUCAACAUUCCACUGGGCCUCAGGGGUCCCAUCCCUACCCUUACCACUUUAGACCAACGGACAGUAAGGACAACCACAGCUUCACAUACACUGGCCUGUGAGAGCCACAGUUGCUGUAUGUGUAGCCCAAAUGGACAGGAAUGUUCUUUCUCCUUGUUAAGCUCUGUUCUGUUAAUUUAUUAAGGUUUUAAUGUACGUGCUUUUAAAUUGCACAGAUUUUUUUUGCACUGGUUUUGUUACUCAAUAAAAUUAUAUUUUUGGGAUAAUAAUUCAUCUUUAUUAAUUCCCAACAUGCGCUGCAGAAUGCCUAGCAGUACUGAAAGCACCCAUUUACUUUGUACGGUGUGACACAACUCAUAGGAUCAGUGACAAACACAGUGUAAUAAUUGUAAAUGUACAGCAAGCACCGCAAAAUUAAUAGGUGCCUCAACAGUGUUCUAGUCAUGGAUGUACACCUAACAGGCCCCAAAACUGCAGGGCCAGGUAGAGCACAGUCCAUCACAAUGCAUUAUUGUGGCUUACUGGCAAAGGGUUUUUCAAGGCCUUCUUCAGCUGUAUAGCUCCACAUUGAGCACUUCUAAUAGCCCUUGUGUCUGGCUGUUCAAAUUCAACAGACAGCUGCUCCACAUCCACCUUCCACCCUGGCAGCAUCUUUUCUUCCUUUGCCUCACAGAUAGUAUGCAGGACACAGCAGGCACCUAUAACCACUGGGAUGUUUUUCUCACAGAGAUCCAAUCAGGUGUGUAAACAAUGCCAGUGUCCUUUCAACUUACAUUCAGCUGUCAUUCUACACCAGCUGAGCUGGCAGUCGAAUCUUAUCCUUGGUGCUGCCAAGGUGGCCAGUGUAUGGCUUCACGAGCAAGGGGUAGGCUGCAUCCUCCAGGAUCACUAUGGGCAUUUCAACAUUGCCUGUGGUAAUCCGCUGGUCAUGAAAGAAAGUCCUUGCUUCCAGCUUUCUGAAUAGUUCUGUGUUCUUAAAGAUGCACCUUCCCUGACCAGCCAACAUGGAUGUCAGUGAAGUGUUUCCAGUGAUCAACCAGCGCUUGCAUAACCAUAGAAAAAUAGCCGUUUCUGUUCAUAUACCCUGUGGCAGGGUGGGCUGGUGCCAAAAUAGGGAUAUGCUGCCAGCUUUUGCUGCACGGCAGUUCAGGAACUCAGUUGCCACAAAUCCAUCCACUACGUCCUGCACGUUGCUGAGAGUCACAGUCCUGCAUAGCAGGAGACAGUUAAUGGCCCUGCACGGUUGCAUGACCUCUGUGGAUUUUCCAACUGCAGAAUGAUUUUCCCGCUGACCUGUGGAAAUCCGGCAUUGCAAGUUUCCAUGGUGUUAUUGCCACUUACUUCUCUGCUGUCAGUGCAGCUCUCAGUCUAGUGUCGCUGUGCUGGAGGGCUGGGGUGAGCUCGGCACACAGAUCCAGGAGUAUGGCCUUUUGCAGCCAAAAGUUCUGCAGUCUUUACUCAUUCUAUCAAAAAACCUGCAUUAUGAUGCGAUCCCACCAAUCCGUGCCCGUUUUUUGAGCCCAGAAACGGCGCUCCACCAUCUACAGCCUCUCUGUGAACGAAAGUAACCAUCUUGAACUGGCUUUCGUUCUGUCCCACAGCUAUCUGUCGUCCAUGAAAGCAUCAUGUUCCCUGCUGAUUCAGUUCUUGCGCCUCUGCAAAUACCAGAGGAUCGUGUACCCUAUGCGUGCAACUCUCACGACAAUAAUGCAGAGCUGUGCAGGCUCCAUGCUUCUGUCAGAGAUGGCAGACAGUGAGGAGAGCCACGUGGGUUCAUGGGAUUUUUAAAAAAGGCAUGAAAAUGAUGGGAUAUGGAUGACAUUCUGGGAUGAAGAAUGUUGCAUGCUGGGAAGCUGACCCUUUGCUCCUGGCCACCCCUGUGUGACUUGUUUCCACCCCACCAUAAAUUACCAAAAUUUUCCAAAAGACAGUGCGCUGGAAGGUGCACCCACACAAGCACUCCUGGUGAGCGCGCACAUCGCUGACACAAGCAGUAUAGUAACUGCAGCAGCUUUAUGCCAGCAUAACUUGCAUUGGCCAAAGUUUGUGAUGUAGAUGUGUCCCAAGGGAACGACUUGGGCAACUGUUAAGUGACAUCAGAACUAACCCACCAAUGCUCACAUUUCCUCUGUAGCUAAUUUGCGUGUAGCAAUUCCAUUGGUUGUACUUGCUGGGCGCAAAUUAAUUCUGACUGUCUUGUAUUCAGAGAUUAACUCCCUGAUAUUGGUUUGAGUGGCCAGUUAAUUUUCUUUAGUCUUGUCUGCUUUACUGGCACACAUGGAGUCUUUUUCAUGCUACGAGCCUAAAACGCUCUUGGAUGUUCCUUGGUGGUGGUGGUGGUGGUGUUUUGUUUUGUUUUUGUUUUUUGUUUUUUUUAAUUUUCAGAUUCUUUGGGAGGUAUCCAUCCUCUGGUCCCUGUGCUCUGCUUUUGGGGAUGGGGGUUGAAAUGUGUUUACGGAGAGAAUGGAGACAACUUAUUCUGUUGUUUUUCAGAGCCAUAGAUGCCUAUUCAAUAUUGUAAACACAUUUGCUUGCUAGUUUGUGCUAUAAAGUGACACCAGGGAAACUGCCAUGGGGUUUUUGUUUUAAGGAAAAGAUGCCACGAAUUCCUUUGCUACCUUGUACUGUGUAGAUGCUGCUGUUUGGCACAGGUUGUAGCAGAUACAGCGUGCCCUAAAUGAGCUUGUGUCUUGUGUUCUUGCAAUAAAAAAUGCUUUUGUUUUUAUACUUAAACUCCUUGCAGUCUGUGGGUCCUCGGUUACAUAACAACAAUAAUAAUAGCAUGCUCUCGUAUAGUGUUUUUCAUCUAGAGAUCUCCAGGCGCUUUACAAAGGUCAUCUUUAGCCUCAUUUUACAGAUGGGGAAACUGAGGCAGAGAGCGGUUCAGUGACUUGCCCAUGGUCACCUUGCAGGCCCCUUGCAGAAUUGAGACUAGAACCCACGUCUCCUGAGUUUGUCCAGUACUCUAUCCACUAGGCAGUACUGCUUCUGUUCUCUAUUUUCCAUUACCUGAAAGUGGGUGAACGAAUGGGGGGAGAAUGGGACAGGAUGGGACUAAGCAACAUUGCAUCUCUAGCAUGGUGGUAGCGUAAGGAGGGUUGGCUGAACCAAAAUAGGUAGUGGGUGACAGGCAGGGAAGACCACGACAGAUGGUCCUUUUCUGUGGCUGGGAAGGAGGAUGGAAAGCGGUGGAUAGGAGAGAGGUAGAGCAUAGAUGACGAGAAACAGGGAUCGAUGCUUCUGCUUCUUCUAUAGUUAUAUCUGCCCAUUUGCAUAUGCUAAUCAUAGUUCCCAGGAGAAAGUUUUCCUCAAACUUCUUGAAACCUUGUCCUCCCAUGUCGCAUGUUUGUUGGUUGAUGGAGUUACUUCGACUUGACUGUCAGCAGCAGAUCCUACCUUAAUGUCAACGACAGCUGAGAGACAGUACAGUCAGUGUUUUCCCUCCGUCUGUGAGGGUUGGCAGCUUUCACUAGUCACAGUGACACACAGGGGUCAUUGGCACGGCAGCUUGAGGUGGAAUUUCCUGAGGGGGUAGACAUGUGCAUGCGAGCGUUGAUCGUGCUAACAUGCUACAAAUGACAGUUUAGUGGCAGUGCGGGCAGUGAGAUGGGCUAGCUGCUCACGUACAUACCUAGGAUCUCAGACAGGAUUGUACUCAGGGUGGCUAGCCUGUCUCAUUGCCUGCGCCGUUAUGGUUAUGCUGCUAUUUUUAGUGUGCGAGCUCGAUCAGCACUAGCGUGCACAUGUCUACCCAAGCUGGAAAUUCACCUCCAGCACCAGUCCAUUCUGUGUCAUGUUUGGAGUGCUACGUGACCAUCAUCGUCUCCUUUUUCCCAGCGCCCGGGUUGGGUAGGCCGAUGUUAUGAGCUGCCUUCGCCCGUGUCUGUUUUGAGCCUUUUGGGGCACAACUAUCUUCUUGGAUGUCCACGACUCUCUCUCCAUGCAGUCUUCCAUAGAGAACAAUUUUAGGCAGCUGGGACAGGGUCAUUCUAGCAAGAUGGCCCAAUCGUUGGAGUUGGGACCUUUUGAUGAUUGUAGUCACUUUUUCAGGCUUCUACAGAUGUAAUUAUAUCGUAGUCUACCCAUCCUUGCCAUGCCUAGGUUAUGGCCCAA
Non-coding RNA from Chrysemys picta bellii (western painted turtle), 5080 nucleotides. The record is from RefSeq and is a predicted model, not a curated record. NCBI's taxonomy places the organism in Eukaryota, Metazoa, Chordata, Testudines, Emydidae.